AACGUAGGAGACGAGCGUUAUCCGGAGUUACUGGGCGUAAAGGGCGUGCAGGCGGCUGCGUAAGUCUGCUGUGAAAGCCUUCGGCUUAACCGGGGAAAGUCAGCGGAGACUGCGCAGCUAGAGCGUGACAGAGGUGUGUGGAAUUCCGGGUGUAGUGGUGAAAUGCGUAGAGAUCCGGAGGAACACCAGAGGCGAAGGCGGCACACUGGGUCACGGCUGACGCUCAGACGCGACAGCAUGGGGAGCGAAC
RNAcentral lists this ribosomal RNA (250 nucleotides) under uncultured prokaryote. Its description in RNAcentral is "partial 16S ribosomal RNA". It matches the Rfam family "Bacterial small subunit ribosomal RNA", at positions 524 to 773 of the family's 1533-position model. The record is from RNAcentral.